Molecule: long non-coding RNA, 614 nt
Organism: Fundulus heteroclitus (mummichog)
Lineage: Eukaryota; Metazoa; Chordata; Actinopteri; Cyprinodontiformes; Fundulidae
Exons: 4
Source: RefSeq, a predicted model, not a curated record
AAAAAGAAGAAACUGUGUCAGAAUUAAAGGCUGACUGAAGUCCAGGAGAUGGAGAACAGAGCAGAACCUCCAGGAUCCAGCUGUCCGUCUAUGAGGAGUGACUGCUCCAAAGAUUUCCCUCCAGACUUCAGAGAACCUGGACCCUCAGAAGGUCAGAACCACAGACAGAGAGCAGAACCUCCAGGAUCCAGCUGUCUGUCUAUCAGGAGUGACUGGUCCAAAGAUACACCUCCAGACUUCAUUGAAGAACCUGAACCCUCAGACUCAGAACCAGGACCUGGACUGCUGGCAGCCAAUCAGAGCAGCUGUGCUCCAGGUGAGACUGAACAUCUCCAAUCAGAACUUCCUUCUAUCGUCUCUGUUGGACUAAUUCCUCGUCUUUAGUUGGCAUUUGGGAAUCUAAGUGUUUAAAGUCUUUCUGGGAUCGAUUAUUUGCCCUGAAUCUCUGGAUUUCCAGCUGCUCUAAAUGUAACGUCUGUGUUCAACCCAACAACCUAUUGGGUUUGCUUUGAGGUGGUUCUGUUUUCAGCCCUUUGUGCUAAAUGCAUUAAAACUGAACAUCUCCUUAAAGCUGCAGCUCAUUUUGAUGGAAACAAAAAGAUGGCGAAAACAAC